Molecule: long non-coding RNA, 2875 nt
Filed under: Homo sapiens (human)
Lineage: Eukaryota; Metazoa; Chordata; Mammalia; Primates; Hominidae
Description: HSALNT0134828
Source: RNAcentral
UAAAGAACUACCUGAGACUGGGUACUUAUGAAACAAAGAGAUUUAAUUGACUCACAGUUCAGCAGGCUGUACAGAAAGCAUGGCUAGGGAGUCCUCAGGAAAUGUACAGUCACGGUGGAAGGCAAAGGGGAAGUAGGCACAUCUUCCCAUGGCAGAGCAGGAGAGAGAGAAAGAGAGAGAGACAGAGAGAGAGAGAGAAGAGGGGAGGUGCUAUACACUUUCAAACAAUCAUAUCUCAUGAGAAUUCUAUCACAAGACAGCACUAGGGGGAUGGUGCUAAACCAUUAGAAACCACCCCCAUGAUCCAAUCACCUCCCACCAGGCCCCACCUCCAUCACUGCGAAUUAUAAUUCGACAUGAGAUUUGGGAGAUGACACAAAACCAAACCAUAUCAGUCUUUAAAGAGUUAAGUUAAAAUAAGCUCUUUAAAGUGGGCCCUAAUCCAGUAUGACUGGUGUUCUUAUAAGAAGAGGAGAUUUGGUCACAGACAUGGUUGCAUGCAGAAUAAAGACUUUUCGAGGACACACUGAGAAGGCAGCCAUCUGCAAAACAAGGAAAGAGUCCUCAGCAGAAACCAGUCCUGCAGACUCCUUGAUCUUGGACUUCCAGCCACUGCAAUUGAUGUCAAGCUUCAGCACCCUUGCAUCUCUGGAUAAAUGAAAUGUCACCCCAGCUGCCGUCCUUGUUCAGAUCUGUGCAAUAAAGAGCAAAGCAUAAAACCAAGUCAAGGCUUUGAGGGAGUGACCUACAAAAUGCAUAAUGUGAAACAAUGCAAAAGCGAAAGGUGCAAAAUCCCCAUCAAAGAGCUGGAGGCUGACAGAUGCGCCAGUGAUAAUUCCCAUCUUCCAACACAGGAGCACAGCUUCCAUUUUCCAUAACAGAACAACAGCCAGAGCAGCUGGAAGGCAGGGCCGCAUCCCAGACUUCCACCAACAAUGGGAUGAGACUUGACAUCUGGAAUCACAACCACAACAGACCUGAGAGACCCACCAGCUUGAUGACAAGCUUCUUCUUUCAAAGAAAGUUUUAGGCGGUCAUGACCAUGGGAUGCUGGACCAGGAUGGUAAGCUUCAGGAAACAGAAUCUGGAGAAUGCCCAGCUGCUCCCACAGGAAGCAUCAGGGAAGAAGAAGAAGAGGUGUGAAGUCUGCCUUCUGCUCUGCUGGGAUCCCUUUCACAUCUCCUUUGCCUCCAGGCAGUUUUGGUUCCUGGCCAUUUCCAGGUGUGACUCACUCAGGAUGGUAAGCAUCUUCUCUCCUACCCAGAGUAGAGGAUGAAGACCUCAUCUCAGAGGUUGAAGGGAGCUCCAGAGAGAGGUCUCAAACUUCCAGCAUUAACUGCUAAAGAAGCUUCAUGAGCUGCUGGAGAACCUGGGAAAUGACCAAUUAUAGGGACAGAGCUCAAAUACUCUGGGACACUCUAGUAGCUGAGAAAGUUCCAACUCCAGGGUGAUAGAGGACUGCCUGGCAAACCAUCAUCAAAGCAGAAGACCUGAUACUAACAUCACAGGCUAUGGUUUAUUACUGAAGAUCAGUGCUUACACCCUGCCAGAGGUUCAGAAGCAAACUUAUCAUUGUUCUCCCUGGAGAUGUUGGCCCACAUUCUGAAAAGUGUGGUCAGUAGUAGCAACAGAAAGCAAUUGUGCUUGCCAAGCACAAUGUCACUGUCCCCAGCCCUUCCCCCAACACAACCCAGUAGGUGCUUCCUGGCUGCAAACUUGGGAAAGUCACUUGACCUGUCUGAGGUUCCACUUCCUAAUCUGGCCUGGCGAAGAUAAGAAAAACAGUUUAUUUAAAGUGUCUAGCAAAGUGCUUGGACCAAAAUAGGACCUCUGAAAUGGUUAUGGUAGUGCUGUUAAGGUGAUGUUUUAAGUGCUGAUGAGCACAAAGAUGGGUAAGAUAUUCCUUCUGUUAAAAUCUACAGUCUAAUGAGAGAGAACAAGAUGAAUGCACAAUAACUGUCAUUCAGAACAGGAUUAUGAGAAGGUGUGAAUUUCUGUGAAAAAUCAGAACAGGGAGUAAUAUGAUCCCAGGUGAUUGGCAGGGGGUGGGGGUCUGGAUUCAACUGGAGAGGGAGCUGGCAGGGAAGGCUUCCUGGAGGAUGAGAGUUCAACAAGGGGCAGGUGUAGGAUGUGGGUGGCCAAGUGACUGGGCAGAAGGAGCUGCAGAAGUAAGACCCCAAAUCAGGAAGACAAGGGCCUGCUGAGAAACACGAGCUACAAAGUGCAAGUGCAGGAAGAGUUGGGAUGAGAUUAGAAGGGGGUCUGGGGCCAGACUGUGGAAGGCCCAAAUGCCGGGCUAAGGAGUUUGUACUUAAUUCAGUGGUCAACGGGGAGUCAUUGGAGGCUGUUGAGCAGGAGAGUUGCUUUCUUUACAGCUGUGCCAGACUAAAUUAAACCUAAACAGUACUUUAUAGCUGGAAAGGGAAGGCCCAGGAAUAGCUCUUGACUCAGAAACAGGCAUUGGGGAAGGUAAUGAGAAACAGCCGUGACUGAUCAAAGCAGAGAGGUUAAUUAAAUUUGUAAUUAUUGUGAAAGGCCAUUAAAAACCCUAGUUCACUAGAGAUAACUGCUCUAGUGGGGCUUCAAAGACAAACGCUUCUUUUAACCUUGAAUAGGGGGAUGUUUGCUUCUCUGUGGAGGAGAUAUGAUUAAGAUACUUAAUAAAUGGUAGAUAAACAUGCACACGUGUGUGUUCUCUGUAAACCCACUCUUCGUCCCUGCAUAUAUCUGUGUAGCUAUGUAGGGUGCUCCACAAGAGGGGUCCCCAGCCCCCAGGCCAUAGAGCGUUAUGGGUCCAUGACCUAUUAGGAACCAGGCCACACAGCAGGAGUUGAGCAGAGGGCAAGCAAGCAAAGCUUCAUCUGUAUUUACAGUC